GACGAACGCUGGCGGCGUGCUUAACACAUGCAAGUCGAACGGAAAGGCCCUGCUUUUGUGGGGUGCUCGAGUGGCGAACGGGUGAGUAACACGUGAGUAACCUGCCCUUGACUUUGGGAUAACUUCAGGAAACUGGGGCUAAUACCGGAUAGGAGCUCCUGCUGCAUGGUGGGGGUUGGAAAGUUUCGGCGGUUGGGGAUGGACUCGCGGCUUAUCAGCUUGUUGGUGGGGUAGUGGCUUACCAAGGCUUUGACGGGUAGCCGGCCUGAGAGGGUGACCGGGGACAAUGGGAGUGAGGGACGGAGCAGACGGGAACGGGAGGCAGCAGUGGGGAGUGUUGCAGAACGGGCGGAAGGGUGAGACGACGGCGCUCGGUGCGGGAAGCCGGGCUUCGGGGUGGGAACAGAUGUGUAAGGAAACGAAGCGAGAGUGACGGUAAUGGAUAAAGAAGCAACGGCUAACUACGUG
This 468-nucleotide ribosomal RNA is filed under the name uncultured bacterium. RNAcentral describes it as "partial 16S ribosomal RNA". It matches the Rfam family "Bacterial small subunit ribosomal RNA", at positions 28 to 507 of the family's 1533-position model. The record is from RNAcentral.